GUUUUUUUUUUUUUUUUUUUGGCAAUUAAAUUUUGCGAGUGUGGGUGGCAGCUUGGAAUGUGGAGCUGGACGUGGAACUGGGACUCACCUGAGCUGCUCGGGGAGCACGUGUAGUUGCCCGAAUCCGCCGGCGUGGCCUUGGCUAUGAGCAGCUUGCUGGUCCGUGUGGAACGCUCCGUGAUGACGUUGAUGCCACCGCGCUGCGAGUAAUUCAUGACCCGCUUGCCCUUGUACCAGUAGAUGAACGAUGGCGGCACCGGCGACUGCAUCGCCAGGCAGGUGAGAUUGAUGUCGCUGCCGCUCUUGAUGAAGAGCUCCGCGUUGCCCAGGAUCUUGGCCCGUGACACUGCCGUUGAGAGGUAAUAAAAAGCCACACGGGGCAGGCCAUUAAUUAGCACACCGCCCACUUAAUGGCCAGCGAACAUCACUUCCCCCAUCUCCCAUCGGCCCAUCUCCACCGGCUUCGAUACUCACCCACAACGUUGAGGCGAAAUCCUUGGCUGAUCUUCGGCUCCGUGGACACCUGGCACUCGUAGGUGCCCGAAUCCCGCGGCUGCGGCGAUGAGAUGCGCAGCGUCCACUCGUCGGAUCCCUCGGAGUGCAGCGACUGGAAGCGCUGGUCGUUUGUGUACGUUAGUAUUCCCACCGUCAGGAUGUGCAGGUCGCGCUUCCUUAUCCAGGACACCUGGCGGAGAAGGAAGUGGCCAUUAAGUUCAUAAUGCGUUGAGCCCAUAAGCCAUUAGCUAUGGCAUUUUUUAGAGCAUAAAGCCUAUUUUAUU
Non-coding RNA from Drosophila melanogaster (fruit fly), 779 nucleotides. Lineage: Eukaryota; Metazoa; Arthropoda; Insecta; Diptera; Drosophilidae. The record is from Ensembl.